RNAcentral lists this long non-coding RNA (1206 nucleotides) under Cyanistes caeruleus (blue tit). RNAcentral's name for it is "lncRNA (ENSCCEG00000019010.1)". Lineage: Eukaryota; Metazoa; Chordata; Aves; Passeriformes; Paridae. The record is from RNAcentral.
AAAAAUAGAGCCCUGAACAGGCCCAGGCCUGAUAAAAUGAGAGCUGGGCUCACCCUGUCUGUGUGAGAAGACUUUGCCAAGGCUCAUCACCCUGCCCCAGGACAAGCUCCCACAGCUGCCGGGAGCAAGCGCUCAGCUGCUCCUGUACCACUUCUUCCUUCACUCAGGAAAGUUUACAUUACAUAUUACAUUCCAGGAACACGCAGAACCUGGAAAUUGCGCAACUAUUUGUAGUUCAUACAAAAAAAAAAGAGUGUCAUUUAAUACCCCUAAAACUUGUGGAAAUUGAUGGUGAUCCUAUAAUGGAACACUCUGCAGCCAAGGUACUCAUUAAUGGACACCUGGUUGCUCAUCAAUUCUCUGAUUUUUAAAUCGGCUUGUUAAGCUAUGGAUUAAGGCUUUAAUCACCCUUAAGCUAUGGAUUUCCUUUUAAAUGAUAACUGCCACAUAGCCUCGGUUAUUUAAGAUUUUGCUCUUCCAUAAUUGUUCUCUGGAACAUAUGAAACUUCCACACCAGGAGAACAGCAGACAGCCUUCCAAUAAGGCUGGGAGCCUGUGCCAGCACAGGGAUUUUCAUGCUAUUUUAAGCAUUUACAAGUUGUCUCAAGCCUUAAACGAUAAAAACAUCAAGUAGUGAGAGUGCACUGAACUCAAUAUUUUGCUGUUGAGGCAGCCUAGUGGGAACAUGCUAGUGCAAACAUUUGAAUGUAAGCACCAGCUGGAGGCACUUCCUCCAGCUCUGCCACGAGGAGUUCCUGGGUGAGAACAGAAGCCCUGGCCGUGAGCAGGAGCUGCUGCCCUACAAGGAAAGGUUAAACAGCAUAUCCUAGGCACAAGAGCCCACAAAGUGUGAAACCCAACUUUGCCUCUCAUGAGCAGAUGUGGUGUUGAAGUUACAGGGACAUUUGUGGAGGAGCUGGUGACUCAAAGGGACCUGGUGUGCUGCAGGGACCCCCACAAGCAGGACCUGCAGCUGACCCAGCCUAGAGUCAGUUUCAGAAUUUCAGAAUCACACAUUUUCAGGCCCAUGUACCCAGUAUUGGUCACCACCUGCAAAGGUGAUGAAAACUCCAGAAGCAAAAGCAAGAAAACUCUAGGAGAGGUGGGGGGAUAAUUAGGAGUCAUGUAUAUUUACUGGGCUGUAAACAGAAACAAAAAAAACAAAAUCAAAAUAAAAUCAAAACCCCCCAGUUUUGAUGUGAGAGU